GAUGAACGCUGGCGGCGUGCCUAAUACAUGCAAGUCGAGCGAACGGACGAGAAGCUUGCUUUUCUGAUGUUAGCGGCGGACGGGUGAGUAGCACGUGGAUAACCUACCUAUAAGACUGGGAUAACUUCGGGAAACCGGAGCUAAUACCGGAUAAUAUUUUGAACCGCAUGGUUCAAAAGUGAAAGACGGUCUUGCUGUCACUUAUAGAUGGAUCCGCGCUGCAUUAGCUAGUUGGUAAGGUAACGGCUUACCAAGGCAACGAUGCAUAGCCGACCUGAGAGAGUGAUCGGCCACACUGGAACUGAGACACGGUCCAGACUCCUACGGGAGGCAGCAGUAGGGAAUCUUCCGCAAUGGGCGAAAGCCUGACGGAGCAACGCCGCGUGAGUGAUGAAGGUCUUCGGAUCGUAAAACUCUGUUAUUAGGGAAGAACAUAUGUGUAAGUAACUGUGCACAUCUUGACGGUACCUAAUCAGAAAGCCACGGCUAACUACGUG
RNAcentral lists this ribosomal RNA (497 nucleotides) under uncultured bacterium. RNAcentral's name for it is "partial 16S ribosomal RNA". It matches the Rfam family "Bacterial small subunit ribosomal RNA", at positions 28 to 507 of the family's 1533-position model. The record is from RNAcentral.